Molecule: ribosomal RNA, 448 nt
Filed under: uncultured bacterium
Lineage: Bacteria
Description: SSU rRNA
Rfam family: Bacterial small subunit ribosomal RNA
Source: RNAcentral
AGAACGAACGCUGGCGGCAGGCCUCAAACAUGCAAGUCUAGGGGGCGUAGCAAUACGUCACCGGCGGACGGGUGCGUAACACGUGGGAAUGUACUUACUGGUUCGGAACAACUCAGGGAAACUUGAGCUAAUACCGAAUGUGCCCGAAAGGGGAAAGAUUUAUCGCCAGUAAAUCAGCCCGCGUCCGAUUAGCUAGUUGGUGGGGUAAAGGCCCACCAAGGCGACGAUCGGUAGCUGUUCUGAGAGGAAGAUCAGCCACACUGGGACUGAGACACGGCCCAGACUCCUACGGGAGGCAGCAGUUGGGAAUCUUGGACAAUGGGGGAAACCCUGAUCCAGCCAUGCCGCGUGAGUGAUGAAGGCCUUCGGGUUGUAAAACUCUUUCGACGGGGACGAUAAUGACGGUACCCGUAGAAGAAGCUCCGGCUAACUUCGCGCCAGCAGCCGC